This 690-nucleotide ribosomal RNA is filed under the name uncultured Vibrio sp. RNAcentral describes it as "bacterial SSU rRNA". It matches the Rfam family "Bacterial small subunit ribosomal RNA", at positions 54 to 731 of the family's 1533-position model. Lineage: Bacteria; Pseudomonadati; Pseudomonadota; Gammaproteobacteria; Vibrionales; Vibrionaceae. The record is from RNAcentral.
CAUGCAAGUCAAGCGGUAACAGAAAGAAAGCUUGCUUUCUUUGCUGACGAGCGGCGGACGGGUGAGUAAUGCCUGGGAAUAUGCCUUGAUGUGGGGGAUAACCAUUGGAAACGAUGGCUAAUACCGCAUAAUGCCUACGGGCCAAAGAGGGGGAUCUUCGGACCUCUCGCGUCAAGAUUAGCCCAGGUGGGAUUAGCUAGUUGGUGAGGUAAUGGCUCACCAAGGCGACGAUCCCUAGCUGGUCUGAGAGGAUGAUCAGCCACACUGGAACUGAGACACGGUCCAGACUCCUACGGGAGGCAGCAGUGGGGAAUAUUGCACAAUGGGCGCAAGCCUGAUGCAGCCAUGCCGCGUGUGUGAAGAAGGCCUUCGGGUUGUAAAGCACUUUCAGUCGUGAGGAAGGUAGUUGCGUUAAUAGCGUAAUUAUUUGACGUUAGCGACAGAAGAAGCACCGGCUAACUCCGUGCCAGCAGCCGCGGUAAUACGGAGGGUGCGAGCGUUAAUCGGAAUUACUGGGCGUAAAGCGCAUGCAGGUGGUUUGUUAAGUCAGAUGUGAAAGCCCGGGGCUCAACCUCGGAAUUGCAUUUGAAACUGGCAGACUAGAGUACUGUAGAGGGGGGUAGAAUUUCAGGUGUAGCGGUGAAAUGCGUAGAGAUCUGAAGGAAUACCGGUGGCGAAGGCGGCCCCCUG